AGUGAACGCUGGCGGUAGGCCUAACACAUGCAAGUCGAACGGCAGCACAGUAAGAGCUUGCUCUUACGGGUGGCGAGUGGCGGACGGGUGAGGAAUACAUCGGAAUCUACUUUUUCGUGGGGGAUAACGUAGGGAAACUUACGCUAAUACCGCAUACGACCUACGGGUGAAAGCAGGGGAUCUUCGGACCUUGCGCGAUUGAAUGAGCCGAUGUCGGAUUAGCUAGUUGGCGGGGUAAAGGCCCACCAAGGCGGCGAUCCGUAGCUGGUCUGAGAGAAUGGUCAGCGACACUGGAAGUGGAACACGGUCCAGACUCCUACGGGAGGCAGCAGUGGGGAAUAUUGGACAAUGGGGGCAAGCCUGAUACAGCCAGACCGCGUGGGUGAAGAAGGCCUUCGGGUUGUAAAGCCCUUUUGUUGGGAAAGAAAAGCAGCAGGUUAAUACCCCGCUGUUCUGACGGUACCCAAAGAAUAAGCACCGGCUAACUUCGUG
RNAcentral lists this ribosomal RNA (492 nucleotides) under uncultured bacterium. Its description in RNAcentral is "partial 16S ribosomal RNA". It matches the Rfam family "Bacterial small subunit ribosomal RNA", at positions 29 to 507 of the family's 1533-position model. The record is from RNAcentral.